UCCCUUCCCAGGACUGAAAGAGUGGAUGGAA
This 31-nucleotide non-coding RNA is filed under the name Homo sapiens (human). Lineage: Eukaryota; Metazoa; Chordata; Mammalia; Primates; Hominidae. The record is from RNAcentral.